RNAcentral lists this ribosomal RNA (301 nucleotides) under uncultured bacterium. Its description in RNAcentral is "partial 16S ribosomal RNA". It matches the Rfam family "Bacterial small subunit ribosomal RNA", at positions 509 to 807 of the family's 1533-position model. The record is from RNAcentral.
CAGUAGCCACGGGAAAACGUAGGGGGCAAGCGUUGUCCGGAAUUAUUGGGCGUAAAGCGCGCGCAGGCGGUCAUUUAAGUCUGAUGUGAAAGCCCCCGGCUCAACCGGGGAGGGUCAUUGGAAACUGGGAAACUUGAGUGCAGAAGAGGAGAGUGGAAUUCCACGUGUAGCGGUGAAAUGCGUAGAGAUGUGGAGGAACACCAGUGGCGAAAGCGGCUCACUGGACCAUAACUGACGCUGAGGAGCGAAAGCAUGGGGAGCGAACAGGAUUAGAUACCCCCGUAGUCCCUGUCUCUUAUAC